UGGUUCUGUCAGCCGAACACCUGUCUUGCAAACAGGAGGACCCGAGUUCAAAUCUCAG
RNAcentral lists this transfer RNA (58 nucleotides) under Rattus norvegicus (Norway rat). It matches the Rfam family "tRNA", at positions 8 to 63 of the family's 71-position model. Rfam says of the family: Transfer RNA (tRNA) molecules are approximately 80 nucleotides in length. Their secondary structure includes four short double-helical elements and three loops (D, anti-codon, and T loops). Further hydrogen bonds mediate the characteristic L-shaped molecular structure. tRNAs have two regions of fundamental functional importance: the anti-codon, which is responsible for specific mRNA codon recognition, and the 3' end, to which the tRNAs corresponding amino acid is attached (by aminoacyl-tRNA synthetases). tRNAs cope with the degeneracy of the genetic code in two manners: having more than one tRNA (with a specific anti-codon) for a particular amino acid; and 'wobble' base-pairing, i.e. permitting non-standard base-pairing at the 3rd anti-codon position. The record is from Rfam by way of RNAcentral. Lineage: Eukaryota; Metazoa; Chordata; Mammalia; Rodentia; Muridae.